RNAcentral lists this ribosomal RNA (548 nucleotides) under Lindingaspis rossi. RNAcentral describes it as "eukaryotic LSU rRNA". Lineage: Eukaryota; Metazoa; Arthropoda; Insecta; Hemiptera; Diaspididae. The record is from RNAcentral.
AUCUGGGCGGCGGAAUUCAGGAUGGCUGGCGUGCCUUCGCGGCGCGUCGGACGUUUGAUAUUUCCGUCGCCGAUAACCCGCAGACGUCGCGACCUGUUCGCGGUCGGCCCCUGCUCGGAGGAGCCGCGUUCGAGCUCGUUGUGUGCGCGUUUCGGCGCGCAACACGGCGAAGGCGCGGAUCUCUGGCUGGCCGUCGGACAGUAUGCUUAACGGUGUCCGGUGUCGUCGUCUCGUACGCGCGCGCACCGGUACCGGUCAGCGACGAAUUCUUCGGGCCUCUUUCCGACCCGUCUUGAAACACGGACCAAGGAGUCUAACAUGCGCGCGAGUCGCGGGGUGUCGAGCGUACUUCGGUACGUUCGUUACGUUGCGAAACCCGUAUAUGUCGAAGGCGUAAUGAAAGUGAAUGGGGAAGAUGGUGUUCCGAGUUCACGUUCCGCGAUCGUCGGUAUCGCGGCCGGACACCCGCAUUCCCGGGGCGUCUCAACGGCCCGUCGCUGAUGCGGACAGUCGUCUCUCGGGGCGGCUGUCGGUCGGCGACGAACCGA